This 373-nucleotide ribosomal RNA is filed under the name uncultured organism. Its description in RNAcentral is "bacterial SSU rRNA". It matches the Rfam family "Bacterial small subunit ribosomal RNA", at positions 526 to 896 of the family's 1533-position model. The record is from RNAcentral.
CAGAGGUCCCGAGCGUUGUUCGGAUUCACUGGGCGUAAAGGGUGCGUAGGUGGUGAGGUAAGUCGGAUGUGAAAUCUCCGGGCUCAACCCGGAAAUGGCAUUGGAAACUACCUUGCUGGAGGAUUUGAGGGGGGAUUGGAAUACUCGGUGUAGCAGUGAAAUGCGUAGAUAUCAAGUGGAACACCAGUGGCGAAGGCGAAUCCCUGGAAAAUACCUGACACUGAGGCACGAAAGCUAGGGGAGCAAACAGGAUUAGAUACCCUGGUAGUCCUAGCCCUAAACGGUGCUUGCUUGCUGUAAGAGGAAUCGACCCCUCUUGUGGCGGAGCUAACGCGUUAAGCAAGGCCGCCUGGGAAGUACGGUCGCAAGAUUA